RNAcentral lists this ribosomal RNA (564 nucleotides) under Claremontiella nodulosa. Its description in RNAcentral is "partial small subunit ribosomal RNA". The stretch from base 214 to 564 matches the Rfam family "Microsporidia small subunit ribosomal RNA", at positions 752 to 1197 of the family's 1311-position model. Lineage: Eukaryota; Metazoa; Mollusca; Gastropoda; Neogastropoda; Muricidae. The record is from RNAcentral.
AGUCGCGGUUAAACCAAGAUGAUCAAAUUAUAUAUUUACGGUUAAAAAACAGUUAAAUAAGAUUUAUGUCUACUAAAUGUUUAUAAAAAGGUAAAAUUUGGCCAUAAACAAAAAAUUCAAUUUAGACUUAAAUAUUGAGGCUGUGAAAACCUUGAGGGAAACUGGGAUUAGAUACCCCAUUAUUCAAGGAUAUAAAGUAAUUUCAAUUUACCAGAGUACUAUGAAUUAAGUAUUUAAAACUUAAAGGGCUUGGCGGUGUUUUAGACCUCUUAGGGGAACCUGUCUCGUAAUCGACAAUCCGCGAUAAACCUAACCUUUUUUUGCACUACAGUCUGUAUACCGUCGUCGUCAGGUAACUUUUCAGAAAAAAGAAGUUAGCAAAGGAAUUUAGAUAAAUUUACACGUCAGAUCGAGGUGCAGCCAAUAGAAAGGAGAGGAUGGGUUACAAUUAUGAAAUUAUAACUACGAAAAGUUUUUUGAAACAAAAAUAAGAAGGAGGACUUGAAAGUAAGAUGAAGUAUAUAAACAUUCUGAAUAAGGCUCUGAAACGUGCACACAUCGCCC